Molecule: transfer RNA, 65 nt
Filed under: Hyalonthophagus alcyon
Lineage: Eukaryota; Metazoa; Arthropoda; Insecta; Coleoptera; Scarabaeidae
Description: tRNA-Leu
Source: RNAcentral
UCUAAUGUGGCAGAAUAGUGCAAUGAAUUUAAGCUUCAUUUAUAAAGUUAAAACUUUUUUUAGAA